GCUUGCUCCUGAUUCAGCGGCGGACGGGUGAGUAAUGCCUAGGAAUCUGCCUGGUAGUGGGGGACAACGUUUCGAAAGGAACGCUAAUACCGCAUACGUCCUACGGGAGAAAGCAGGGGACCUUCGGGCCUUGCGCUAUCAGAUGAGCCUAGGUCGGAUUAGCUAGUUGGUGAGGUAAUGGCUCACCAAGGCGACGAUCCGUAACUGGUCUGAGAGGAUGAUCAGUCACACUGGAACUGAGACACGGUCCAGACUCCUACGGGAGGCAGCAGUGGGGAAUAUUGGACAAUGGGCGAAAGCCUGAUCCAGCCAUGCCGCGUGUGUGAAGAAGGUCUUCGGAUUGUAAAGCACUUUAAGUUGGGAGGAAGGGUUGUAGAUUAAUACUCUGCAAUUUUGACGUUACCGACAGAAUAAGCACCGGCUAACUCUGUGCCAGCAGCCGCGGUAAUACAGAGGGUGCAAGCGUUAAUCGGAAUUACUGGGCGUAAAGCGCGCGUAGGUGGUUCGUUAAGUUGGAUGUGAAAUCCCCGGGCUCAACCUGGGAACUGCA
This 550-nucleotide ribosomal RNA is filed under the name uncultured bacterium. Its description in RNAcentral is "bacterial SSU rRNA". It matches the Rfam family "Bacterial small subunit ribosomal RNA", at positions 78 to 625 of the family's 1533-position model. The record is from RNAcentral.